UUUUCUUGUUUUAAUUUUACCUUUUAUUUUCUUUUGGUUUUAUUUUUAUUGUUCUUCCUUGCUUCUAUUUGUUUUUCUUUUUUCUUUUCAGAUUUUCUAUGUUUCUUCAUUAUUAUUUUAUAUUUUAUUUCCUUUUAAUCUUAUUUUUAUCCUUAUUUAAAUUAUUCAUUAAUUUUAUUUGCUCUAUGCACUUUUUAUCAUUUGUUAAUUAUGUUUGUUUUUAUAUUUUUUUUCUUAGUAAUUUUAUUUUUUUAUUUUUAUUUUCUAUAUAUAUGUGAUACUUAUGUAGUAUAUAUUUAGUGUUCUAUAUUGUGUUAUGUCAUGUUUACGUAAUAUAUAUGUGAUGUUUUAUGAUGUUUCUUACGGUGUUCACUUAGUAUACAUGUAAUCUAUAAUUGAUGUGAUGUUCUAUAAUAUAUUUAAUGAUGUUCUAUGAUGUAUUUAGUGAUGCUAAUGUUCUAUAAAUAUAUUUAUGAUAUUUAAAAAGUAACCCUUUGACAUUAUUUGAAUUUUUUCUCCAUUUUGUGUUUUUAUUUUUUUUCUUAUGCUUUUUACUCUAGAUUUUUUUAUUAUUUUUAUCUAUAUCAUGUAUUUAUGUAUUUUUAUGUAUAUUGUAAUAUCAGUUUCAUAAACCUAAAACCAAAAUACUAUUCUUCUAAAUCGAUAACAUUUUUUUACAAAGACAGAACAUUGUGUGUUGAACCUAGAAUAUUGUUUCUACUUAAUAAAAGAAAAUAUUUUAUCUUUAUAAGAUAAAUAUUCAUUAAUAAAAUUUUAUCUAAAUAUAUCCAUGUGUGAUCUUGUUUUGAAGGAUUUGUUAUAAGAAAUUUAAUGGUGCAAUCAGAAUUUAAUUUAUAUCUCUAGUUUAGGAGUUAUGACUUUUUAAUUCGUUCAAAUAAUUUUGUAUGCAUAGGUGAGUGGGGCCUAGGUUGAUGGGAUAGCGUGUCAUCGCGCAGUAAAAAAGAUCACCAAAG
Molecule: long non-coding RNA, 974 nt
Filed under: Sorghum bicolor (sorghum)
Lineage: Eukaryota; Viridiplantae; Streptophyta; Magnoliopsida; Poales; Poaceae
Description: long non-coding RNA (SBIC_LNC018847)
Source: RNAcentral